This 521-nucleotide long non-coding RNA is filed under the name Homo sapiens (human). Its description in RNAcentral is "HSALNT0178992". Lineage: Eukaryota; Metazoa; Chordata; Mammalia; Primates; Hominidae. The record is from RNAcentral.
AAUUAUACAUUUCAAAAACGUUUGGAGGUCCUUUUCCAGGCAGGAAAUAUAACACUGACCAGAGAACCAAGUUCCUCUCUUGGAUGGAUUGUUUCUGUUAAUUAUCACUCAAAUCUGAACGGUGUGGUAGGACGGAGGGAUACCUUGAAAUCUAAGAAAAGGGGAAAAAAGUGCAAUCGCUACAGUGAUACUUUAGCAGAAGUUUCUAUUGCUAAGUAUUGUGGAGCUCAGAGGAAGAAGUAAAGGCUUCAAGACGUUGAACUUUAAGCUGAGUCUUGAAGGCGGAGUCUUCAAGUUAAAGAAGAGGGGUUAAGGAAAGUCCAGGGAGAAGGAACUGCAUGAGCUGUGAAGAACCAUGAUGCAUUCUUGGAAUUGGUAGCAUUCCCUUUGAAAUAUGGAUUGAAACCCAGGAAGCAUGAAAGAAACAAGAAUUCAAAACUUUAAAUUAAGACAAGACUAUGGUAAAGAGUUUGGCAUUGAACAUUCAGGAAAUGUAACAACUAGAACGAGUAUAAAGGGAA